GCCCACCACUUGGGGAUAACCUUGCAAAAGUAGGACUAACACCCAAUGAUAUCUCUAGAAGACAUCUGAACGAGAUUAAAGAUUUAUCGGUGAUGGAUGGGGAUGCGUCUGAUUAGCUUGUUGGCGGGGUAACGGCCCACCAAGGCCACGAUCAGUAGGGGUUCUGAGAGGAAUGUCCCCCACAUUGGAACUGACACACGGUCCAAACUCCUACGGGAGGCAGCAGUGAGGAAUAUUGGUCAAUGGACGAGAGUCUGAACCAGCCAAGUAGCGUGCAGGAUGACGGCCCUAUGGGUUGUAAACUGCUUUUAUAAGGGAAUAAAGUGAGUCUCGUGAGAUUUUUUGCAUGUACCUUAUGAAUAAGGACCGGCUAAUUCCGUGCCAGCAGCCGCGGUAAUACGGAAGGUCCGGGCGUUAUCCGGAUUUAUUGGGUUUAAAGGGAGCGUAGGCCGGAGAUUAAGCCUGUUGUGAAAUGUAGAUGCUCAACAUUUGCACUGCAGCGCGAACUGGUUUCCUUGAGUACGCACAAAGUGGGCGGAAUUCGUGGUGUAGCGGUGAAAUGCUUAGAUAUCACGAAGAACUCCGAUUGCGAAGGCAGCUCACUGGAGCGCAACUGACGCUGAA
Molecule: ribosomal RNA, 624 nt
Filed under: uncultured bacterium
Lineage: Bacteria
Description: bacterial SSU rRNA
Rfam family: Bacterial small subunit ribosomal RNA
Source: RNAcentral